This 174-nucleotide ribosomal RNA is filed under the name uncultured bacterium. Its description in RNAcentral is "partial 16S ribosomal RNA". It matches the Rfam family "Bacterial small subunit ribosomal RNA", at positions 336 to 526 of the family's 1533-position model. The record is from RNAcentral.
CUCCUACGGGAGGCAGCAGUGGGGAAUCUUGCACAAUGGGGGAAACCCUGGAUGCAGCGACGCCGCGUGAGCGAUGAAGCCCUUCGGGGUGUAAAGCUCUUUCGACGGGAACGAUAAUGACGGUACCCGAAGAAGAAGCUGCGGCUAACUACGUGCCAGCAGCCGCGGUAAUUC